UACGUAGGGUGCAGGCGUUAAUCGGAAUUACUGGGCGUAAAGCGUGCGCAGGCGGUCUGUUAAGACAGGUGUGAAAUCCCCGGGCUUAACCUGGGAAUUGCGCUUGUUACUGGCAGGCUUGAGUGUGGCAGAGGGGGGUGGAAUUCCAAGUGUAGCAGUGAAAUGCGUUGAUAUUUGGAGGAACACCGAUGGCGAAGGCAGCCCCCUGGGUUAACACUGACGCUCAUGCACGAAAGCGUGGGGAGCAAACAGG
Molecule: ribosomal RNA, 253 nt
Filed under: uncultured bacterium
Lineage: Bacteria
Description: partial 16S ribosomal RNA
Rfam family: Bacterial small subunit ribosomal RNA
Source: RNAcentral